RNAcentral lists this transfer-messenger RNA (386 nucleotides) under Helicobacter pylori. It matches the Rfam family "transfer-messenger RNA". Rfam says of the family: Bacterial tmRNA, also known as 10Sa RNA or SsrA, is named for its dual tRNA and mRNA-like properties. Its role is to liberate the mRNA from a stalled ribosome. To accomplish this part of the tmRNA is used as a reading frame that ends in a translation stop signal. Lineage: Bacteria; Pseudomonadati; Campylobacterota; Epsilonproteobacteria; Campylobacterales; Helicobacteraceae. The record is from RNAcentral.
GGGGCUGACUUGGAUUUCGACAGAUUUCUUGUCGCACAGAUAGCAUGCCAAGUGCUGCUUGUAAAACAGCAACAAAAAUAACUGUAAACAACGCAGAUUACGCUCCAGCUUACGCUAAAGCUGCGUGAGUUAAUCUCCUUUUGGAGCUGGACUGAUUAGAAUUUCUAGCGUUUUAAUCACUCCAUAACCUUAAGCUAGACGCUUUUAAAAGGUGGUUCGCCUUUUAAACUAAGAAACAAGAACUCUUGAAACUACCUCAAGGUUUUAGAAAGUUGGACCAGAGCUAGUUUUAAGGCUAAAAAGCUAACCAAUUUUCUAAGCAUUGUAGAAGUUUGUGUUUAGGGCAAGAUUUUUGGACUGGGGUUCGAUUCCCCACAGCUCCACCA